RNAcentral lists this ribosomal RNA (253 nucleotides) under uncultured prokaryote. RNAcentral's name for it is "partial 16S ribosomal RNA". It matches the Rfam family "Bacterial small subunit ribosomal RNA", at positions 525 to 777 of the family's 1533-position model. The record is from RNAcentral.
ACGGAGGGUGCAAGCGUUAUCCGGAUUCACUGGGUUUAAAGGGUGCGUAGGAGGGCUGGUAAGUCAGUGGUGAAAUCCCCGAGCUUAACUUGGAAACUGCCAUUGAUACUAUCAGUCUUGAAUACCGUGGAGGUUAGCGGAAUAUGUCAUGUAGCGGUGAAAUGCUUAGAUAUGACAUAGAACACCAAUUGCGAAGGCAGCUUACUAAGGCGAUACUGACACUGAGGCACGAAAGCGUGGGGAUCGAACAGGA